RNAcentral lists this long non-coding RNA (6626 nucleotides) under Prunus persica (peach). RNAcentral's name for it is "long non-coding RNA (PPER_LNC006647)". Lineage: Eukaryota; Viridiplantae; Streptophyta; Magnoliopsida; Rosales; Rosaceae. The record is from RNAcentral.
AGCAAGUUAAUUAAUUAUGACAGCUUUGUGGUGACGACUUCCAAAAUAUUGUAUUACAUGCGCGGGAGGAUCUUGUUAUAGAAGUUUCAAAAAUAUUACAUGUAUCAUUCCACCCCAACGUGUUACGUGUCAAUUUAUUAGUGUUUAUAUUUCAAGUUUUAUUUAAGUUUUCUAUUAUCCAAAAUCCAUGUAAAUAAGUUUCAUAAGACAAAUAAUUGAAGUGAUAUGGAGGUCGUUCAUAUAUAUGGAGAUGAAUAAAAUAAGAGGUGAAGUAGAGACUCUUACCUUGAAAAGGAAGCUGGCCAUUCUCAAUGAGCUUGGGGAGACAAAGACAAGUCCACAGGUAACGAGGACAAGGAACGUUAAAACUUAGAAUGGGCAGCCCCAGCUCCUCCGCCACAUCAAACGCAAAAGUCACGAGCCCAUCUGUCAUGAUACAGCUCGGAGGCGGCACCAGAGUAUCAUUCGAUUCGGCCUUAAGCGAAAUGGUUUUGAGCAGCUCCCGGAAAUGAGGCCUAAUGGACGUCUUCAACGCAAUCAACAACUGGCUAUUCAGGGUACGGGGGUCAUCCUCGGGGAGGCCAUCGGAGAUGGACUCGAAAUGGAGGGUGGGGAAAUGAGUCGAGAGGGCUUGGCGGUUGGCCAAGCGCUGGUGGUUGUGGUGAGUGUUGACAUAGGUGACAUGAAGGCCUGCAUGGCAGAGAAGCUCGGCUAAGCAUAGCAAGGGCUUCAUGUGACCUUGGAGUGGGAAGGGAAAGAUGAUUACGUGAGGUUGCUUCAUUGCCAUUGAGUUAAUAUUUUAGCUAGGUUUUCUUGCUCUUAGGGCUUUCUUAAUUGUAAGUUAUAUCAACCUAUUAGAGAAGGGUUGGUAUAUAUAGAAUCUGGAAAUGGCAUAUAAAAUUGCAAGGCGUUGAAAAUGUAAACAUAAACUAAGGCCAUCUCCAGUCAUAUGGCUAAAUGUAGUUCAGGAUUAAAAAUUUAGCCUCCAAAAUAUUAAUUUUUUAAAGAAUAGUGCAUGGUUAAAUUUUUCCAUCUCCAGCCAUGCAGGGGUAUAUUUUAGGGUCCUUCAUAUUUUAUUAUUGUGAGAAAAACUAUAGUAUAACACUCAUACAUUCAACAACUAUAUAUUGUUUAAUUUAAUUAAACUACAAUUUAGAGACAAUAUUUCAUAUUUAAUUAAACUACUAUUUAGAGAUAAUUUUUUAUAAUUUUUUUUAAACAACACUUGAAAACAUUUAAAAAGGUGACCAUAUUUAUUUUUAUUUUUUAAAGAAAAAAAAAGAAUGGGUUUCAAUGGUCUGACCAUAACGGUCAUGACCAAUAAUAUUUUAUACUUUUGUCUUCAACAAUAUGAAUUGAAACAUUUAAAAAGGCUGUUAAAAAAUAUAUAUAUCCAACUAUGCAUUAACGUGUUUUACUGUUGGCCGUUGAAAAGCAAAUGCAUGGGGCCCACUAAAAUUUGGUCUAGGCCAAAGCUGAGCUAUAUGUGGCCCAGUUGGAGGGCUAAGGAGCCAAAUGUGGCCCUCUAAAUUUGGCCGAAAUUUUGUUUAGCUCAUGACUAGAGAUGGAUUUUACAUUAUUUUAAGGCUAUAUUUAGGAUAUAGCCCAAAGCUAGAGAUGGCCUAAGAUGCCAAUAUAAGUCAUGCAUACGAACACAUAAUAUUAUACCUUGAAAUAAAAAUAAAAAUAGGUUCACGGAUGGCGGCCACCUUACAUGAUAUAUAUGGCAAUUCACGUGUACCCAAAAACAAAACAAGAAAAAAGAUACCGUGUCUCAGCUAUUUUUCUCAUCCAAUGAAAUUCAAGUUGAACCCUCCACCAAAAAAAAAAAAAGGAAAGAAAACUAAGAACAGAGGAUUAGCUUAUACAAUGAUGAAUUGGAAGUAAUAGUAAAUAUGAAGAUAUGAGACAAAAUUGAAUUUCACGUUGUUUCAAAGUCAACCGAUAUGGAGGCAAGAUCUAGUCCCUCUCAAUCAACAUAAUAUUCUUCUAAACGGAAAAAAUUCUUUCAGAAUAUAUCGUAUCGAAAACGUUGAAAAUAUAAAAUACACUAGUAUAAACACGUGAACAUAUAUAAUGAGUAAAAUAACAAAGGAAUUAAGAUAUUCUUCCUUUAAGUCUCAAUAAUGUAAUUGUUUUUGUCGUUUGCCAAAGGUCUCAAUGCAACACAUACAAGUUGGUGUGGAACUCUUCCACGCAUUCAUCUCCAUCUACCGAACUAUGGAACUAUCGAAACUGAUUCUUUCUAUACAUUAUUCAUACAAUUAAGAUCAAUUUGAAAGUAGCAUUCAUUUCUUAUUUGAACAAAUAUUCGAAUCUAAUGAGUUAUUCAAUUUAAUUUAAUCUUCGAUAUCAAACAUGAAUUAUGGAAUUUAUGUCGGUUACAAGCUUAUUAAUUGUGAGGUUGGAAAUCCAAACCAAUUAUUUGAUCCCAGACUCUGGGCAAUAUUGUUGUUGUUUCGAUCAAUAUACAAGGUUGGCUAUCAAAUAAGCUGGUAUUCUCAAACAAAAUGACUAAUAUACCAUGCAAUCAACCUAUUCCAAAGAAAUGACUAAUAUGUGCAGCAUUAAUUUUCCAUAGAGAUCCAGCUAUGUUUGGCAACUGGGAAUUUGAAGAGAAUCUUCUAAAUUCUUUUUCUUUUUUCUUUUUUUAUGAACUUCUUUUUUUUUAUUCCUCCACAAGAUGAGGAAACAUGGAAUAAAAUAGACCCCAAUUGCAAGUGGCAAUUACUUUUGGUUUUGGUACCAUAUAUAUAUAUAUAUAUAUAUAUAUAUAUAUAUAUAUAUAUGCUUGGCAAUUGACAUCAACAUCCAACGCUUGGGGAUCAUGCUGUGUAGUGUUUUUGCAUGCUACUUUUGGUAUGGUGGCUAUUUGACCCUCAAGUUCAAUCGCAUUGCUCGAAGCGAUAAUUUUUUUAUUUAUAAGAGAGAGAAGAGGGAUGUAUCACGGAGGAUUGUCGGAAUUUUUAUAAAUUUUUUUAUGACCAACUCAAAUAUUGUCAUGGUUACAAAACAAAAUAAUCGUUUUAUUUUUUAUUUUUUAAAACCUACCAUUACUUUGCAUACCCUUUUUUUUUUUUUUCGUUGCUCAAAUUUCUCUGCCUAUCAUUACUUUGGUACAGACACUUAUUAGGGCUGAUUAUAUAUGCAUGAUAAAUUAAGGAUGUUGUUAAACGAAUUUUAAAAUUAAUUGAAUACAUCUUAUGAUCUAAGUACACUCUAAUAUUUAAAUUAAAAUAUAAAAUUAACUAAGUAUACCCAAUUUAACUACUAAAAAUACUCCUGGUUCACCAUAAUAUACUCUAUCACACAACACCAAAUCCAUUUAAGAGCUGACUGCUGAACACUAUCAAACCACCAAACUCAUUUAAGAGUUGGCUACCGAAUACAAUAAUAAUACAGUAAAUAAAUAGAAUCAAGAAAGACAAAGAACAUCAACAGAGCUUCUAAACCGUUAUGGUGAAAUCAGAUGCUCUAGUGUCUCAUUAACUUGAUUCUAAACCGUUAUUUAAAUUGUUAUUACAGUCUUCAUGGAAACGGCACUUUAUUUAUUUUCAUAUUACUUAUGUGGAUUGUGCGCUUCCAAUAAUUUCCCAACACUAAUCAAGCUUAAGAUCUAAUUAACUAAAGUUUACUCGGCUAUUUUGUCACAAAGUAAUGAGAAGCAUAUAUAAAUUGCAUAGUGUACAAAACAAAAAAACUCAAGACACAAUUCUUGACAUCUAUUUAUUUUUAUUGGAAAUAAUAGUCAAUAGGAAGAAAUGACACAAAUUUGAGUUUCACAUGAUUUUGAAGUCAAUCAAUAUAUAAGCCAAUUCCAACUUCCAGCCACUCUCAAUCGACAUAAUAUGUUUUGUGCAUGAAGAAAAUUCUCUCAGAAUAUAUCGUUUGGAAAACCCUUAACCAGCAUUACCUAUAAAUAUUGUGGAAAAUAUUAUAGCCUUGCUAUAAUAAACAAGUCUCAAAGUAAUUUAUUUUGUCGUUUUCCAAGUCUCAAUGUAAUUAUUUUUGUCGUUUGCCAAAAGUGUAAAUGUGUAAGACAUACAAGUUUGUGUGGAAAUCGUCCACGCAUUAUUGCGGAAGCGAAGCCAUAGGGUGUAAAUUGACAGUUAAUCUUUCUUAUUAAUCUAGUCAAUUAUCAAAGCUCAUUUUUUGUUUAUGUUAUUCACACAUUAAGAUCAAUUACAUAAGUCAUGAAGGAAAAUUUGAAACUAAACAUUCAUUUGGUUGAAAACGAAUAUUAUUUCAAUCUAACGAGUUAUUCAAUUCAAUUUUAGACAGCAAAUAUGAACUUUGUAGAAUAUACUCUUUUAUAUAUUACGUUACAAGGUUAUUGAUUGUGAGGCUGGAAAUGUGAAGAGAAUCUUUUAAUUCCUCCACAAGAUAAGGAAACAUGGAAUAAAAAAAAAUCUAAUUGCAAUGAAUUUUGGUAUAUAUAUGCUUGACAAUUGACAUAAAACAAAAAACAAAAAAUCCAACACUUGGGGAUGUUGUAUAGUGUGUUUACAUGCCACUUUUGCUAUGGUGAUUGUGGAGGAUUGUCGGAAUUUUCAUAAAAAAAUUUAUGAACAACUCUUGUUGUGGUUACAAAACAACUAAUCCUUUUUUUCACCUACCAUUACUUUGCAUACCCUUUUAUUUUUGUGGUCAAAUUUCUCCGCUUACUAUUAGGUCAUGCAUGUAUGCAUGAGGCCUUUAAUAUCUGCAUGAUAAAUUGUGUUUACAUGUCUCUAGAUUUUGUCAAACAAAACAAUUUGUAGGAAGUUAGAAAACAGAUUAGUCGUUGUGGAAUUUGUUUUAAUCCCACAAAACAAUAAAACACCAACACCUACAAUUGAAGUUACAGAGAGCAAUUUGUGGGAAAGAGCUCGAUUGACCCCUUGCAUGCAUGUAUCACUUCACUUGUGGAUGAAAAUUUUGGAUUUUGGAUUGUUUAUUCAAGAAGCAAUGAUACACACACGAACAAGACAUAUAAACUUAAGCAAUCUACUUGAUACACAAAUUCUUUAUUAGGUCUUCAAUAAGUUUCUCCACGUUGUUGUACGAAGUACGAGCCAGCUUCACAAACAGCAUUCUGAGCCAAUUUUGCGAACCUCUCCACAGACUUGGGAAUGUGCUCACUUGCAUGAUCUUCCUCAAAUCCCUUACAUCAGACUUAUCCUUCAUAUCAAACCCAAUCUUCCAAACCUCAUCACCAAAUAUCACAACAAAUUAUUCCAAUGAAAAGUGAAAUAUAAUAUCACCAGCUAGCCAGCUAGCUAGUUCUGGUGUUGCAAAUUUCGAAUGUAUUCGAUCAGCUGCUCCAAGUUGUUGUGAGAAGAUCCACCUUCGGCAACACUGUCACGAGCCAAUUUCGAAAUGGCAUCCAUGGAGCUCUGGAUCUCCUCCCUUUUGGAUCCCAUCAAAGUUUGAACCAUGCUCUCAAUGUUGGACCGGUCACAAUUUUCAUUCAAUUGGAGACCAAUCUUCCACUGCCGGCAAACAGUUCUGCUAAUAAUAUAAUGGUCCCCCAAAUUCGGCCAACAGAUCAUGGGCAGCCCGGCCACAAUGCUUUCAAGCGUCGAGUUCCACCCACUGUGGGUCAAAAACCCACCUACCGAUUUGUGGGCUAGCACCUCCUCCUGCGAAACCCAAUCCACAAUGCACCCUCUUUCUUUCGUACCAUUUUCCAGCUCCGGGGGAAUUUGGUGGUCCCCAGAUGUGAUGUCGGACCUCAUGACCCAUAAAAACGGGUGUCCACUGUUGAUCAGACCGUACCAAAACUCUAUCACUUGGGCACGUGUCAAGUGAACCAAAGUCCCGAAGCUGACGUAGAUAACCGAUUUGGACGGCUGGGAGUCGAGCCACGUCAUGCAGUUUAGGUCGCUUUUCCAAAGAGAACCGUGGGAUGCUAGACCUCGAGACAUGUCACCUAUUUGGGAGUUGAGGAGAGCGUGGAGUGGUCCAAGGGUGUAAAUCUUGGGAAACAUGAGGGCCAUGUGGGAAAUGCAAGGGGUAUCGAGCUCAUAAACUGUGUCGAGAAUGAGAGCCGAUGCUCGUUUUAGGGUUUGGGUCUCGUUGAUAGCGAAUUGAAGAGAUGGGUGGUCAGCUUGUUUGACUCGGCAAAAACCUGGCAAGUCUUGGCGAUGCAAAAGGCCUUCCAUUCCGGGCACUCCCGUAAUUUCCACAUUCAUGUCAUCAUCUGUUUAGAACUCACAAAUCACAUAAUUUUUUUUUUAAAGCAAGUUAAUUAAUUAUGACAGCUUUGUGGUGACGACUUCCAAAAUAUUGUAUUACAUGCGCGGGAGGAUCUUGUUAUAGAAGUUUCAAAAAUAUUACAUGUAUCAUUUCACCCCAACGUGUUACGUGUCAAUUUAUUAGUAUUUAUAUUUCAAGUUUUAUUUAAGUUUUCUAUUAUCCAAAAUCCAUGUAAAUAAGUUUCAUAAGACAAAUAAUUGAAGUGAUAUGGAGGUCGUUCAUAUAUAUGGAGAUGAAUAAAAUAAGAGGUGAAGUAGAGACUCUUACCUUGAAAAGGAAGCUGGCCAUUCUCAAUGAGCUUGGGAAGACAAAGACAAGUCCACAGGUAACGAGGACAAGGAACGUUAAAACUUAGAAUGGGCAGCCCCAGCUCCUCCGCCACAUCAAAC